This 441-nucleotide small RNA is filed under the name Pan troglodytes (chimpanzee). Its description in RNAcentral is "processed transcript". The record is from RNAcentral. Lineage: Eukaryota; Metazoa; Chordata; Mammalia; Primates; Hominidae.
GGCGUAUCCAUGCUCCAGGACAGCUGGAGCAGUGUAAUUUCCUAUCAAAAAGUCCUCCGCCACUGUGUCAGUGACAAGGUCACAGUUAUUGGAGCUGGAAUUACUGUGUAUGAAGCCUUAGCAGCUGCUGAUGAGCUUUCGAAACAAGAUAUUUUUAUCCGUGUCAUCGACCUGUUUACCAUUAAACCUCUGGAUGUCGCCACCAUCAUCUCCAGUGCAAAAGCCACAGAGGGCCGGAUCAUUACAGUGGAGGAUCACUACCCGCAAGGUGGCAUCGGGGAAGCUGUCCGUGCAGCCGUCUCCAUGGAUCCUGACAUUCAGGUUCAUUCGCUGGCAGUGUCGGUAGUGCCCCAGAGUGGGAAGUCCGAGGAAUUGCUGGAUAUGUAUAGAAUUAGUGCCAGACAUAUCAUAGUGGCCGUGAAAUGCAUGUUGCUGAACUAA